UGUCCGGCCUGAAGACACAUUGU
Molecule: microRNA, 23 nt
Filed under: Sarcophilus harrisii (Tasmanian devil)
Lineage: Eukaryota; Metazoa; Chordata; Mammalia; Dasyuromorphia; Dasyuridae
Description: Sha-Novel-15_5p (mature (co-guide))
Source: RNAcentral